This 30-nucleotide non-coding RNA is filed under the name Rattus norvegicus (Norway rat). The record is from RNAcentral. Lineage: Eukaryota; Metazoa; Chordata; Mammalia; Rodentia; Muridae.
UAAUUUAGCUUCAAUUUGAGAAAGAUUAGA